UACGUAGGGUGCGAGCGUUGUCCGGAAUUAUUGGGCGUAAAGAGCUCGUAGGCGGUUUGUCGCGUCGACUGUGAAAACCUGGGGCUUAACUCUGGGCCUGCAGUCGAUACGGGCAGACUUGAGUUCGGUAGGGGAGACUGGAAUUUACGGUGUAGCAGUGAAAUGCGUAGAUAUCGUAAGGAAGACCAGUGGCGAAGGCGAGUCUCUGGACAGUAACUGACGCUGAGGCACGAAGGCCAGGGGAGCAAACGGG
This 253-nucleotide ribosomal RNA is filed under the name uncultured bacterium. RNAcentral's name for it is "partial 16S ribosomal RNA". It matches the Rfam family "Bacterial small subunit ribosomal RNA", at positions 524 to 776 of the family's 1533-position model. The record is from RNAcentral.